RNAcentral lists this ribosomal RNA (1920 nucleotides) under Triticum aestivum (bread wheat). RNAcentral describes it as "partial small subunit ribosomal RNA". Lineage: Eukaryota; Viridiplantae; Streptophyta; Magnoliopsida; Poales; Poaceae. The record is from RNAcentral.
AUGGCGACCGUCGCGGGGCUUAUCCGGCUCCUCCUCGUCGCCGCGCUGGCGCUGCGCCAGGCGGCGGGGGGCGUCAACCCGCCGCCGCCGUGCCCGCUCGACCUGGGCUACGUGCGCACGUUCCCGUGGGACCGCGCGCCGUGCGCGCCGCCGGUGUCCAACGUCACCGCCUGCUGCAUGACCCUGCUCUCCGUGCUCGGCAUCGGCCUCGCCGCGCGCCUGCGCGCCACCGGCCUCUUCCGCCUCCCGUCCGCGCCGGCCUCGGCCGCCUGCAUCCGCGCCUUCUCCGACGCGAUCGCCUCGCCGCCGCUCUCGCUCCCGCGCUCCCUCGCGCCGGCCUGCUUCCCCGUCCCGUCCCAGUUCGCCAUCUCCCCGUCCUACUGCGCCGGCGUCACCACCGCCGCGCAGUACGUCGCCGCCGUCGGCGGCGCGGCCGCCGGGGAACUCAACUCCUCCUGCGGCUCCAACCUCACCGACGCGUCCGUCUGCUACGCCUGCCUCGCCGCAGGGAUCCAUGCCUUGGCUCGACUCACAGCUGCCGCCGGCAAAGCCUCCAACUCCCUCAACUGCUUCUACCUCACCGCCCUCUACGCCGCCGGCGUGUCCAACUCCGCCGGCCCCACCUCCCCUGCCACCGCCGCAUGCGCCUUCGGCCUCGCUCUCGCCACCACAUCCCCCGCAUCCUCGAAUGCCUCGAGCUCCAUUACCCACACCAACAUCGCCGUCGCAACCGUCAUCCCGAUCGCCUCCGUCCUCCUCGUCUCGCUCAUAGCGCUGCUCGUUUGGACGAAGCGGCACGACGGCAUCAGCAGCAAGAACCGCGGUUUGUCCGACGAGCGGCGGCCGUCGCGGCAGCGACCCAACACCGGCUCGGUGCUGUUCGACAUCCGCGCGCUGGCGAAGGCGACCGGCGGGUUCGCGGAGCGGAACAUCAUCGGCCGCGGCGGGUUCGGCGUCGUGUACCGCGGCGUGCUCGCGGACGGGUCGGUGGUCGCCGUCAAGAAGAUGCUGGACCCGGACGUGGACGGCGGGGACGACGAGUUCGCCAACGAGGUGGAGAUCAUCAGCCACUUCCGGCACCGGAACCUGGUGCCGCUGCGCGGGUGCUGCAUCACCGACGCCGACGACCCCGACGACCAUGGCAGCAGGCAGAUGCUCCUCGUGUACGACUACAUGCCGAACGGCUCGCUCGACCGCUACAUCUUCGACCAGCAGGACGGGGCGGUGCUGCUGCUGCCAUGGGCGCAGCGGAGGAGCGUGAUCCUCGACGUGGCGAGGGGGCUGGAGUACAUGCACUACGGCGUGAAGCCGGGGAUCUACCACCGGGACAUCAAGGCGACCAACAUACUCCUGGACGAGGACAUGCGCGCGCGCGUGGCGGACUUCGGGCUGGCACGGCGGAGCCGGGACGGGCAGUCGCACCUGACGACGCGCGUGGCCGGCACGCACGGCUACCUCUCGCCGGAGUACGCGCUGUACGGGCAGCUCACCGAGAGGAGCGACGUGUACAGCUUCGGCGUGCUGGUGCUGGAGGUGAUGAGCGGCCGGCCCGCGCUGGACCUCGCGGAGCCGUCCGGGAUGGUGCUGGUGACGGACUGGGCGUGGAUGCUCGUCAAGGCCGGCCGGACGAGGGAGGUGCUGGCGGAGGCUCUGCUUCGGGAGGAAGAGUGCCGGGCGACCGUGGCGGCCAUGGAGAGGUUCGUGCUCGUCGGCAUCCUGUGCGCGCACGUCACGGUGGCGUGCCGCCCCACCAUGCCGGAGGCGCUGAGGAUGCUGGAGGGGGACGUGGACGUGCCGGACUUGCCGGACCGGCCGCAGCCGUACGGCCAGAGAAUCCCGUUCGACGAAGGCGAAGGCAACUUCAGUGCGUCGUCGGUGCUGAGCGGCCCGUUCCUGGACUUCGGCGACAUGCUCAGGUGA